Molecule: long non-coding RNA, 4041 nt
Organism: Pomacea canaliculata
Lineage: Eukaryota; Metazoa; Mollusca; Gastropoda; Architaenioglossa; Ampullariidae
Exons: 3
Source: RefSeq, a predicted model, not a curated record
UAAGUUCUUUGGAUCUCAUGAGUCACCUGCGAGAGGAUGCGACCUCCCUAACGUACUAACCGUCAUAACAGAGAGCUAAAGCCGGGCUUGUCGUGUUCUUCUUAACUGAUAACAUUUUAAAGUCCGUGGCUGUCGACGUCGACCCGAUUGACUUCUGUUCUUCGCGUCAUGGCCGUGACAACAUCAAAAGCAUCGCUCCUUCCUUUCUGUGCAGCUAUGCCGGGACCGGAGGAGGCUGUGAGAGCCGCUGUUUCCGCACAGGCCUGUGAUGUUUUGGCCACACAAUGGCAGCACAUGUAAACAGUCUAGCCCUUCUCACAACACACUAAUUGUGCCCACCAAACUACAACAACCCGUGGCGAGAAACCUACUCCUGAUAUGGCGAGGCUUUGCACGGCCUGUAACACGCUGACGCCGAUACCUUCGGCUUCCAAAGACGAGGCGGAAGUCUUUGGAUGUGGCUAUCAGCCUCAGAAAGGAAGUCGAACUGCUUUCCGCGAGACAUGCCUGAGCGUUUCCAGAGUUCCAAGGUACGCGAGCGUUCCACUGCAGUAUGCGAUGCUAGCAGCAAGCAAAGAACAUGGCGCUAAUGCUGUGAUGGCAGUCACGAACAGCAGCAAUGCUGACCUUUUCACCUGAUGCAGAAGACGAGGACCACUGCCAUAGGUUGCACGGCUUGUUGUCGGUCUGGAUACUCUCUUCACUGCUGUCGAAAUUGUGAAAUACGAUUUUCGAUGCUAAAGCUGUGCUGAAGAUCAUUAAUUAGCAGGCUUUGGAGAUUGACUAGCUAGACAACAGCGAUGUGGAUCAUUAAGGUUGACGAUUACCAACACGAAAUACUUGGUUGACUGUGUCGCACUCCUGAUGCCGUCCUCGCCCUUCAAACUUUUAUUUCUGCUCAAUAAUAUUUUCCAAACUGCGACACAUUACCACCACAAUUUCUGCCUUACCACCUCCCCCUCGCGUCUUCUUUCAAGACAAAGGAGGCUUUUCGAGGUAUGAGUACAGUACUAUGUGAUACAUGCAAAGAGCAAGGGGAAGUAUUAUCUGCUUGGCGAAAGAGGCCUACAUCAGAUUGUAGAAGUUGCUUUGACGUAACCCCUGCUUUUGAAGUUGAGUCGAGAUACCAGUCCCUACUGAGUGACCCGUCCACGCAGGAAACACUGUUCCUCUGACGGAGCCUCUUGAGAAGCCGCUGGGGCGAGAGGUCAGGGACGACCGGGGAGGACCGCUCGAGCAGGGUUCCAGGCGCACUCGCUGCUCCUUGCCCCUCGUCCUCUCGGCAUGUUCACACGCCCACCACGCUGUAAUCCCUUUGAUGUACCCGGCGGUCAGGCCGCUGAUCGUUUACAUAAAGGAUUGAUCACUUUUCUCUAUCAUCGAUGGGCCAGACGGUGGCUGGGAGCACAGCGUUCGUGCUCAUUCUUUGAUCAUCAAACACUCUUCCCUUCUGUCCAGAUAAACUGGCCACUGAUGCGACUUAUUUUCCUAGAAAAAGUUCUGAGAACUUAACAAGCAUUCUGUGUAGACUAAAAGUAUUGAUUUUUAUUUGGAAAGAGUAAUCAAAUCUCUCAGGUUUUUUUCACGAUCCAGUUGGUGCGGGCAUCUAAACAAUUGCAAAAAUGUGUCUGUCCACCAUAUGUUGAACGUGGGUCAUGCUGUUCUAAAAAUCAAUCUUCUUUCUUCCUGUUUUUCUGUUUGUUUGUUUGUUUGUUUGUUUGCUUGUUUCUUUCUUUCUUUCUUUCUAUGACCUGUCUACGUAUAGAUUUGAGAUGUACAUCUGCGCCGUACGCAGAUUUUUUUUUUUUUUUAUCGAAGUUUUGUUUGUUUAGUGUUGACUGAGAGAAAGAAAGUAAACAGAAAGUGUUCAAAAUAGUUUUUUUAUGAUACGCGCUGGUGUAGCUCUCUACUAUGAAUAGAUGUUGACUCAAGACAGUACCUCUAUUGCCGACAACAAUCUUCACUUUCAUUUUUGUCUUGGGACGGUAUAGAGUGCAGAACCUAAUGUCUGAGAAGAAACUACGAGUGCUUAAGGAGGUUUUCAAAGGUCGACGGGAGUUGUGUUUGCCUUGACUUCUCCCCGGGAGCUGGUAUAGUACAUGCCUGCCCUCUGGGGAGCCUGGAGAAUAAUUCCCGGAUGAAUACUUCACAACUGUCUAUGCAGGGGCACUAAAUGAGCGAUUUACUCCUUGGCUGUGCAGCACGGAAGAAGUAAAACACGCCACAGUUUCGAAGUAAACAGAGAAAUGUUUGUCGCAGGCGUUUGUGAAGCAAUUUGCAUUAUUCGUCCUCCUUGUCAUUCUCUCCUCCGAUCUAGUAUCGUGGCUGGACAAUGCCACUGAAAAUUAUAGCUGCUGUACAAUAAACACCUCACUUUUCGCUAGGCAAAUAUUAUGUUUAUGAAAAUUGUUUCGACUCGGUGAAAAGCAAGUCUGAAACCAGCAUAUACAACAAAGCAGUGUUGGGCUAAAAGGCUAGUAGCCUAUUAGCUUCGAACGCAACGAUUCCGAAACUGUCUAAACAAUCCCCCGCCAUUAACUUUUGAAAUCGUAGGCAGUCGUGCAUUGGAAAAUCUAUUCUUAAUUUCUUUCAAAUUUUGUUUGCCAAUCAUUCGAGAGACAUCAAAGAUGUUGACCAUUUCAGUCAGUUGAAAGCGGAGAACUUUCUCUGAUGUGUCACGCUUGGGCGAACAGACAUACAGACAGACAGAGUGUAUGCCCCAUUCUUACAUAAUUAUAUCUUCUUUGUAACAGAAUGUGUUACCAAUAUUUUGUAAGACAGGUAAUCGUUGUAAAGGGGUCAUCUGCGUAUUGGACUCAAUAAGCGAUAUUAGGUAGUAUGUAGAAGGAAUCAAGUAGUGCAGCUAGAUUCAUCACUAAUAUUGUAAUUAUAUUAUGUAUUAUGCUGCCAAUCAGUAAAUAAAAUUCCGUCUAUUUUUCCCAAGGAUACCAGGAUACUGUAUUUAUCUGCAUGACAACGUAAUGUGUCGGUGGGUGAGGCGAGUUACAAGUGAGCACAUUAGUAGAUGUCAUAAUCAUAAUAACCUUCUAUUCUCUUAAUUUCUUUCCUCUUUAGAAAAAAAUAAAUAAACAAACAAGCAACACACGAAAUCAUUAGCAUCGUCCUUUUCACUUUGCCAGUUUUCUUUCUUCUCUCUUUUUUUUUUUCUUUUUUUUUUUUUUUUUUGUUUUUUUUUUGCCCGCACGCACAAACACAAUGACAGAAAGACGCAUAAAAGAAGAGACUUCUUACUAAAUGCCACGUAUCCUCAGAUAAUUUCAAUCUGUCACUCAGAUCAAGAUAAAAGUAGGCGUGGUCUUGCUUCUAGAACCGUCACACUGGCACUUAGACAACUCCGAGUUCGCUUUAGACCCAGGGGCGGGACAUUUUUGUGUGAUCAGUAGCGCGAGCGCUGUUUGUUUGAGACUGACGUCCAUAGUUCCUUGUGCGCUAAUUAGUACUUUCUAGGUCCAUAGUCUUUCGCUGUGUUUGUUUUGCUUCGAACCCUGCACUCGCACAACUGCCUCGACAUCAAAGCUUUGGCCAGCUUGUUCGCAUCAGCCCUGACUAGCGGGAGGGAACCAAAGAAACACGUCGGCAGGGUUAGUUCCGAUCCACAGGGAAUCUGGGGCAGGGAGCCAAGCUAGCCGAGACUUUUUUCCAGUGACUUCCACACGCAGACCACUCGGCAGUACUUUGCAGCAAAUGGUGCGUUUUAUCUUCGUGUCGGGUGGAUAGAAGUGUCAGUGUCUAGCCAAAGCUUUUCUCAAAGCCUGAAAGCAAUCCUCAAUUUCCAGGAUUUUGAACUCCAAAGGAUUGUUUAGUACAAACGACUACUUAAAUUAGCAUAUUAUAACAAUGAGACUGGUUAUGUGCAAUAUACAGAGUCUAUCAGUUAUUUCAAAAAGCAGUAGAAAGUAACAGCAUGAUAUUUGUUAACAGGUAACUCCAAAUGACAGCAGAAGAUUAUGUCACUUUCGCAAUUUCUCAUCCAAACACAUAAAGCAAGAAAUGAAAAAAAAACAAACAAACAAACAAACA